RNAcentral lists this ribosomal RNA (161 nucleotides) under Hordeum murinum subsp. leporinum. RNAcentral's name for it is "5.8S ribosomal RNA". It matches the Rfam family "5.8S ribosomal RNA". Rfam says of the family: 5.8S ribosomal RNA (5.8S rRNA) is a component of the large subunit of the eukaryotic ribosome. It is transcribed by RNA polymerase I as part of the 45S precursor that also contains 18S and 28S rRNA. Functionally, it is thought that 5.8S rRNA may be involved in ribosome translocation. The record is from RNAcentral. Lineage: Eukaryota; Viridiplantae; Streptophyta; Magnoliopsida; Poales; Poaceae.
AUGACUCUCGGCAACGGAUAUCUCGGCUCUCGCAUGAAUGAAGAACGUAGAGAAAUGCGAUACCUAGUGUGAAUUGUUGAAUCUCGCGAACCAUCAAGUCUUUGAACGCAAGUUGCGUCCGAGGCUACUCGGUCGAGGGCAUGCCUACCUGGGCGUCAUGC